GAUGACCGCUGGCGGCGUGCCUAAUACAUGCAAGUCGAGCGAAGCGGGGACGGGUGAGUAACACGUGGAUAACCUCCUAUAAGACUGGGAUAACUUCGGGAAACCGGAGCUAAACCGGAUCCUUAUAGAUGGAUCCGCGCUGCAUUAGCUAGUUGGUAAGGUAACGGCUUACCAAGGCAACGAUGCAUAGCCGACCUGAGAGGGUGAUAGGACAAACGGGAACUGAGACACGGUCCAGAAUCGUACGGGAGGCAGCAGUAGGGAAUCUUCCGCAAUGGGCGAAAGCCUGACGGAGAAACGCCGCGUGAGUGAUGAAGGUCUGCGGAUCGUAAAACUCUGUUAUUAGGGAAGCGGGACCUAAUCAGAAAGCCACGGCGAACUACGUGCCAGCAGGCGCGGUAAUUC
This 405-nucleotide ribosomal RNA is filed under the name uncultured bacterium. RNAcentral describes it as "partial 16S ribosomal RNA". It matches the Rfam family "Bacterial small subunit ribosomal RNA", at positions 28 to 526 of the family's 1533-position model. The record is from RNAcentral.